This 253-nucleotide ribosomal RNA is filed under the name uncultured bacterium. RNAcentral's name for it is "partial 16S ribosomal RNA". It matches the Rfam family "Bacterial small subunit ribosomal RNA", at positions 524 to 776 of the family's 1533-position model. The record is from RNAcentral.
UACGAGUGGUCCAAGCGUUAUCCGGAAUUAUUGGGCGUAAAGGAUGUGUAGGUGGUUGUAUUAGUCUGGUGUCUAACCUCUGUGCUUCACAUGGAGACAGCAUUGGAAACGGUACGGCUAGAGUAUGUUAGGGGUAAGCGGAACUAGUAGUGUAGGGGUGAAAUCCGUUGAUAUUAUUGGGAACACCAAAAGCGAAGGCAGCUUACUGGAACAUUACUGACACUGAAACAUGAAAGCGUGGGUAGCGAAUGGG